AAGCAGCUUGCUGUUUUGCUGACGAGUGGCGGACGGGUGAGUAAUGUCUGGGAAACUGCCUGAUGGAGGGGGAUAACUACUGGAAACGGUAGCUAAUACCGCAUAACGUCGCAAGACCAAAGAGGGGGACCUUAGGGCCUCUUGCCAUCGGAUGUGCCCAGAUGGGAUUAGCUAGUAGGUGGGGUAACGGCUCACCUAGGCGACGAUCCCUAGCUGGUCUGAGAGGAUGACCAGCCACACUGGAACUGAGACACGGUCCAGACUCCUACGGGAGGCAGCAGUGGGGAAUAUUGCACAAUGGGCGCAAGCCUGAUGCAGCCAUGCCGCGUGUAUGAAGAAGGCCUUCGGGUUGUAAAGUACUUUCAGCGGGGAGGAAGGGAGUAAAGUUAAUACCUUUGCUCAUUGACGUUACCCGCAGAAGAAGCACCGGCUAACUCCGUGCCAGCAGCCGCGGUAAUACGGAGGGUGCAAGCGUUAAUCGGAAUUACUGGGCGUAAAGCGCACGCAGGCGGUUUGUUAAGUCAGAUGUGAAAUCCCCGGGCUCAACCUGGGAACUGCAUCUGAUACUGGCAAGCUUGAGUCUCGUAGAGGGGGGUAGAAUUCCAGGUGUAGCGGUGAAAUGCGUAGAGAUCUGGAGGAAUACCGGUGGCGAAGGCGGCCCCCUGGACGAAGACUGACGCUCAGGUGCGAAAGCGUGGGGAGCAAACAGGAUUAGAUACCCUGGUAGUCCACGCCGUAAACGAUGUCGACUUGGAGGUUGUGCCCUUGAGGCGUGGCUUCCGGAGCUAACGCGUUAAGUCGACCGCCUGGGGAGUACGGCCGCAAGGUUAAAACUCAAAUGAAUUGACGGGGGCCCGCACAAGCGGUGGAGCAUGUGGUUUAAUUCGAUGCAACGCGAAGAACCUUACCUGGUCUUGACAUCCACGGAAGUUUUCAGAGAUGAGAAUGUGCCUUCGGGAACCGUGAGACAGGUGCUGCAUGGCUGUCGUCAGCUCGUGUUGUGAAAUGUUGGGUUAAGUCCCGCAACGAGCGCAACCCUUAUCCUUUGUUGCCAGCGGUCCGGCCGGGAACUCAAAGGAGACUGCCAGUGAUAAACUGGAGGAAGGUGGGGAUGACGUCAAGUCAUCAUGGCCCUUACGACCAGGGCUACACACGUGCUACAAUGGCGCAUACAAAGAGAAGCGACCUCGCGAGAGCAAGCGGACCUCAUAAAGUGCGUCGUAGUCCGGAUUGGAGUCUGCAACUCGACUCCAUGAAGUCGGAAUCGCUAGUAAUCGUGGAUCAGAAUGCCACGGUGAAUACGUUCCCGGGCCUUGUACACACCGCCCGUCACACCAUGGGAGUGGGUUGCAAAAGAAGUAGGUAGCUUAACCUUCGGGAGGGCGCUUACCACUUUGUGAUUCAUGACUGGGGUGAAGUCGUAACAAGGUAACCGUAGGGGAACCUGCGGUUGGAUCACCUCCUUACCUUAAAGAA
RNAcentral lists this ribosomal RNA (1476 nucleotides) under Escherichia coli. RNAcentral's name for it is "bacterial SSU rRNA". It matches the Rfam family "Bacterial small subunit ribosomal RNA". Lineage: Bacteria; Pseudomonadati; Pseudomonadota; Gammaproteobacteria; Enterobacterales; Enterobacteriaceae. The record is from RNAcentral.